Molecule: unclassified non-coding RNA, 117 nt
Organism: Macaca fascicularis (crab-eating macaque)
Lineage: Eukaryota; Metazoa; Chordata; Mammalia; Primates; Cercopithecidae
Rfam family: Metazoan signal recognition particle RNA
About the family: The signal recognition particle (SRP) is a universally conserved ribonucleoprotein. It is involved in the co-translational targeting of proteins to membranes. The eukaryotic SRP consists of a 300-nucleotide 7S RNA and six proteins: SRPs 72, 68, 54, 19, 14, and 9.
Source: Ensembl
GCCGGGCGUGGUGGCUCAUGCCUGUAAUCCCAGAACUUUGGGAGGCUGAGGUGGGUGGAUCACCUGAGGUCAGGAGUUCAAGACCAGCCUGGCCAACAUGGUGAAACCCCGUCUUUA